Molecule: non-coding RNA, 1211 nt
Organism: Trematomus bernacchii (emerald rockcod)
Lineage: Eukaryota; Metazoa; Chordata; Actinopteri; Perciformes; Nototheniidae
Source: the annotation of a RefSeq genome assembly
CACAGUGGACACAAACUCAAAUCCUCAUCUCCACUCCUGAUAUAAAUAUGUUCUUCCAUUCAGAUGAUAGACGGUGUAAAUCCAGACAGCUUUCCUCCUGGUUUCGUGUCCCACGUUGCCUUCAGUGUGCUGAGAGCAGAGACAUCAUUUCCAUAGAGAGGAGGCUUUGCAUGGUCAGCUGAUCCUCCAGUGAGAAGGUUUAUAGUCCUGUGAGUUCAACACUGCAGGACUCACAUCUGUCAGUCAGCAGAAAGCACCAUGACUCUCAUCACCAUCCUCAUCUGGACGCUGGCCUGCUGCUGUUUCACAGGAUGCAGCGGUCAGGUGACUGUGACUCAGCCUGCAGUCCAGACAUCUGCUCCAGGAUCCACCGUCACUCUCACCUGUAAAACCAGCAGCAAUGUUUACGCAGAUGGCAAUGGUCAAUAUAUGCUCUGGUAUCAACAGAAAUCUGGACAGCCUCCAAAGCUCCUGAUAAAACUAGCGAGCACACGUGAAUCAGGAACAGAACCUCGGUUUAGUGGCAGUGGAAGCGGCUCUGACUUCUCUAUGACCAUCACUGGACUGAAGGCUGAAGAUGCAGCAGUUUAUUACUGUCAGAGUUACCACAGUGGCCCAGUGUACACUUUUGGUGGAGGAACCAAACUCAUCGUUGACUCGGGCGCCAUGCUCAGGCCCUCCGUCUCUCUGCUGGCCCCCUACUCCUCUGAGCAGCUCUCUGGGGGCUCGCUCACACUGGCCUGCCUGCUGACCGGCUACUCUCCUCAGGGAGCCGUGGUGAGCUGGGAGGUGGACGGCACAGAGGUGACAGAGGGGGUCCUGAGCAGCUCGGAGGAGGAGAAGAGCGGACGCUACAGCAGCAGCAGCAGCCUGAGCCUGAGCCAGGAGCGCUGGAUGUCAGGAGAGCUGUACUCCUGCAGGGUCCUCCAUCAUGGCCACGGCCAGACCCAGUCCCUCCGCAGGAGCCGGUGUGAGGGCUAGAGGGGCCGCUGGAGCCCAGGAGAACACAUGCUGCUCUGAUCAUCAGGAGUUUUAAUGUUUGUAGAGGAAAGUGAAGCUUUGUGUGGCCGAGAACAACACUGCUGUAAAGUGUUGGACAGCAACAAGUCAGAGAGUGAUGUGUGAAGCUCAGCAGAGAUGAGAGUGUGCUUAGUAACUGUCAUGUUGAUGAUUCAGGAUGUUCCUAAUAAAGCUUUCUCUGAUAAAUAACA